This is a non-coding RNA of Notechis scutatus (mainland tiger snake), 494 nucleotides long. Lineage: Eukaryota; Metazoa; Chordata; Lepidosauria; Squamata; Elapidae. The record is from RefSeq and is a predicted model, not a curated record.
CUUUAAAAUAACAAUGGUGCACAAUAUUCAUCAAGCAUUUGAUGGUGAAUGAAUGGGGCAAGAUUGCGAUAUAAAGGUAGUGAACCUGGCAGCUUAAAAUGUAUCUUCCUUUGGUUUAAAUUAUCCUCCUGUCUGUCUAGUUGAUAUGAAAUGAAUGCCAGCAAUAAAUUAUUGCCAAACAAUCAUUCAACUCAAAUGAGAAGGAGCAAGAUAUAAAAUGGAAAGAGGAUGUGGUUUUCAAAGAAUUGAAGCCUGAAGCAACCCUCAUGAAUUUCAACCACAGCAAUUCAGAGAGCAUCACUGAUGAUUGCCCUAAUGAAGACCUUCCUGAAGUGGAACUAGUGAGCAUGCUAGAAGAACAGCUGCCUCAGUACAAAUUACAUGUGGAUUCUUUAUAUCUUCCUGUAAACGAUGACUGGAUCCAGUCAAGAAGUUCUCACAGUCAUGGUCCUGAAAUUUCUUCUCCUGUUCUUGCUGAGGAGGCACUCCAUUAU